Molecule: long non-coding RNA, 1343 nt
Filed under: Homo sapiens (human)
Lineage: Eukaryota; Metazoa; Chordata; Mammalia; Primates; Hominidae
Description: non-protein coding lnc-CRYL1-1:2
Source: RNAcentral
CAGAGAGAAGGCAGCCCGGUCCCCCUCAGUGGAAGGGAGUGGCGGUGGGCGGAGGGUGUUGAGGGGACGGUGCCAGCGGCUUGCGGGAAGCCGGGCGAUGCGGCAGAUGCCCAAAGGAUGAUAGUAAGCUUACUGUGACAUAACUCCCGGAGCCGCAGCACGAGCCUUGUGAACCUUGGAAGCCCGUUUUCCGCGCAGUCACUAACUCGCUUAGUCACCCUGUGUAAAAGUUAUUCUGGGAUGACACCUGCCUGGGAAGUCUCACCUUUCCCCCCACCUCCUCCUGUCUGCGUAUUGUUCUGUAGCACCCCGUGCGCACCUUGAUUGUAGCGCUUAAGGUGUCCGUUUUAUUUACUAGACAGGGAUUGAACCAUUGUGUCCCAACCACCUAGAACCUGGGUCAUAGUGUAAAGCUUAAUCAAUGUAAUAUAAAUGGGGGAAUUAAAUUCAUAAUUGUUUAAUGUUUAAGUUUUGUCUUAAAUUUUAAAAGUAAAUGUUGGGGAUGGAGGGGAGGGACAGAGGGAGUCUAAAGACACCAGUAAUUAAUGAGUUUUUAUAAAAUAAGUAGUGUUGGCCGGGCGCAGUGGCUCAUGCCUAUAAUCCCAGCACUUUGGGAGGCUGAGGCUGGCGGAUCACCUGAGGUGAGGAGUUGGAGACCAGCCUGGCCAACGUGGUGAAACCCUGUCUCUACUAAAAAUACAAAAAUUAGCCCGGCGAGGUGGCAGGCGCCUGUAAUAAAUCCCAGCUACUCAGGAGGCUAAGGCAGGAGAAUCUCUUGAACCCAGGAGGUAGAGGUUGCAGUGAGCCAAGAUGGUGGUAUUGCACUCCAGCCUGGGUGACAAGAGCGAAACUCCAUCCAAAAAAAGAAAAAACAUAGUGUUGGGGGACAAUUCUCCAUGGGUCACCUGCACUUUCCCGUGUUUUGUGAGCAGAGACACUGACUGCCUUUGUUCUGGAGUACUAUGAUAGCUGGUAUUUUUUAAGAUGUGAUUAACAGUUAAAUUAGACUUGAGUAAAGCAGUUGGUCCUCCACAAGGUGGGUUGGCCUCAUCCCGUCAAGGGAAGGUCAUAAGAGAAAAGACUAAGGUCCUCUGAGGAAGAAGGAAUCCUGCCCCCAGACUGCCUUCAGCUCUUUCCUGGGUCUCUAACUUGACCUACAAAUUUUAGGCUUGCCAGCAUUAUAAAUAAAGUUUUGGUGCCGCAAAAGAAAUAGCACUCAACUAUAAAAUUUUCUUUUUUCCUUCUCAGCAAGGCAAUUUACUUCUAUAGAAGGGUGCGCCCUCACAGAUGGAGCAAUGGUGAGCACACACCUGGACAAGGGAGGCGAAGGGGUUUUUAUUCCU